AUGUCAGUUUUUAAAUUACCCAAAAGUAUUUGUAAGGCAAUUACAGAUGAGCUGGCAGGCUUUUGGUGGGGUGAUAGUGAGGAGAAGAAGAAGAUGCAUUGGUUUGCAUGGUGGAAGUUAUGCAUCCCGAAGAAUAAGGGUGGAUUGGGGUUUAGGGACUUACACAGUUUUAAUCUUGCUUUGUUAGCAAAACAGCGUUGGCGCCUACUCCAGAACCCUGAAUCUUUGUGUGCACGAGUUCUAAGUGCAAAGUACUACCCUGAUGGAAACAUUCUCAUGGCAGGACCAAAAAAGGGAUCCUCAUUUACUUGGCAAAGUAUUAUAGCGGGUUUACAAAUUUUUAAGAGAGGGUGCAUCUGGCGUGUGGGUACGGGAUCACAAAUCAAUAUCUGGAAUGAUCCUUGGAUACCCACAAAUGAUAGUAGGAAAAUCAUAACUCCAAGGGGAGCAACUAUGUUGAGCAAGGUGGAGGAAUUAAUUGAUCCUUAUACUGGACAAUGGGAUGAGCAUUUGAUCGAGAAGUGUUUUGGCAGGUUGAUGUACACCGGAUCCUACAAAUUCCUCUUCAAGUGCAGCUGCUUGAAGACUUUGUAG
Molecule: ribosomal RNA, 594 nt
Filed under: Triticum aestivum (bread wheat)
Lineage: Eukaryota; Viridiplantae; Streptophyta; Magnoliopsida; Poales; Poaceae
Description: partial small subunit ribosomal RNA
Source: RNAcentral